RNAcentral lists this ribosomal RNA (474 nucleotides) under uncultured bacterium. RNAcentral describes it as "bacterial SSU rRNA". It matches the Rfam family "Bacterial small subunit ribosomal RNA", at positions 28 to 524 of the family's 1533-position model. The record is from RNAcentral.
GACGAACGCUGGCGGCAGGCCUAACACAUGCAAGUCGAACGCUGCAGCAAUGCAGAGUGGCAGACGGGUGAGUAACGCGUGGGAACCUUCCCAGUGGUACGGAAUAGCCCAGGGAAACUUGGGGUAAUACCGUAUAAGCCCCUAGGGGGAAAGAUUUAUCGCCAUUGGAUGGGCCCGCGUCGGAUUAGCUAGUUGGUGAGGUAACGGCUCACCAAGGCAACGAUCCGUAGCGGUUUGAGAGAAUGACCAGCCACACUGGGACUGAGACACGGCCCAGACUCCUACGGGAGGCAGCAGUGGGGAAUCUUGGACAAUGGGCGCAAGCCUGAUCCAGCCAUGCCGCGUGAGUGACGAAGGCCUUAGGGUUGUAAAGCACUUUCAGUAGGGAAGAAAUGCUUGGAGCUAACACCGCCAAGUUUUGACGUUACCUACAGAAGAAGCACCGGCUAACUCCGUGCCAGCCGCCGCCGUAAU